RNAcentral lists this ribosomal RNA (969 nucleotides) under Cassava witches'-broom aster yellows phytoplasma. Its description in RNAcentral is "bacterial SSU rRNA". It matches the Rfam family "Bacterial small subunit ribosomal RNA", at positions 268 to 1246 of the family's 1533-position model. The record is from RNAcentral. Lineage: Bacteria; Bacillati; Mycoplasmatota; Mollicutes; Acholeplasmatales; Acholeplasmataceae.
CCAAGACUAUGAUGUGUAGCCGGGCUGAGAGGUUGAACGGCCACAUUGGGACUGAGACACGGCCCAAACUCCUACGGGAGGCAGCAGUAGGGAAUUUUCGGCAAUGGAGGAAACUCUGACCGAGCAACGCCGCGUGAACGAUGAAGUAUUUCGGUACGUAAAGUUCUUUUAUUAGGGAAGAAUAAAUGAUGGAAAAAUCAUUCUGACGGUACCUAAUGAAUAAGCCCCGGCUAACUAUGUGCCAGCAGCCGCGGUAAUACAUAGGGGGCAAGCGUUAUCCGGAAUUAUUGGGCGUAAAGGGUGCGUAGGCGGUUAAAUAAGUUUAUGGUCUAAGUGCAAUGCUUAACAUUGUGAUGCUAUAAAAACUGUUUAGCUAGAGUAAGAUAGAGGCAAGUGGAAUUCCAUGUGUAGUGGUAAAAUGCGUAAAUAUAUGGAGGAACACCAGUAGCGAAGGCGGCUUGCUGGGUCUUUACUGACGCUGAGGCACGAAAGCGUGGGGAGCAAACAGGAUUAGAUACCCUGGUAGUCCACGCCGUGAACGAUGAGUACUAAAUGUUGGGUAAAACCAGUGUUGAAGUUAACACAUUAAGUACUCCGCCUGAGUAGUACGUACGCAAGUAUGAAACUUAAAGGAAUUGACGGGACUCCGCACAAGCGGUGGAUCAUGUUGUUUAAUUCGAAGGUACCCGAAAAACCUCACCAGGUCUUGACAUGCUUCUGCAAAGCUGUAGAAACACAGUGGAGGUUAUCAGUUGCACAGGUGGUGCAUGGUUGUCGUCAGCUCGUGUCGUGAGAUGUUGGGUUAAGUCCCGCAACGAGCGCAACCCUUAUUGUUAGUUGCCAGCACGUAAUGGUGGGGACUUUAGCAAGACUGCCAGUGAUAAAUUGGAGGAAGGUGGGGACGACGUCAAAUCAUCAUGCCCCUUAUGACCUGGGCUACAAACGUGAUACAAUGGCUGUUACAAAGGG